ACCAGCUUUUACUAAUAUCAUCAGUUUGGUCUUUGUCUCCUAUUUCCUUCUAGUUCAUCACUAAAAUUAUAUUUAUUUUUAAAUUUGAGUAGAGUUUAAGAUUUCCAUUCCAUCUAUACUAAGCUGCUAUGUGUGUGGUCAAGGCCCCGGGCUCUGAAUACAGGUGACUUCAGUUUCUCGCUCAGAGCUGUGUCUUCCCAGCCAGGGACCGCCUAUGUUGCUUCAAAGGAGGAUGACAGAGUGAUUGAAAAGAUUACCGGAAUUAAGCCUCCUGACUCUCUUCUCAUGCACCAGGGUGCCUCAUGUUUCCAAUUUCUAUGAAUUCCUGGAAUUUGACCAGCAUCCUGUUCCCCCCAAAAAGCUGCCAUAUUCUUCAACCUGGAAGAUUCAGAGACCAAGACUCAAGGUUCUCAUUGGCCGCAAUAGAACCUGGGACAUGUGAACCCCCCAGAUGAGCAAGCCAGUUUUGCUGUCCUGUGACUCUCCACACACAGAGACUGAGGUGCUCAUUGUCUUCAGGGAGAGAGCAGAUCUUCCAAGAAUAAUGGAGUCAAAACCACGCAAUUAUUUUCUCAAUUUAGAGGGUUGACAAGAGACAUGAAAUCCCCCAACUUUCAAAUGUAAGGGCUGGAUAUUUAAAAGAGAAAGUUGUUUUCUCAGAAAUCUCAAAGAUGGGCUUUGAAAUACCAACUCACUGAGCAUAAAAAACUGAACUAUAGAAUUCUAAGUAUAAACAUAGAGUAGGGAGAUGUGGAAUAGGAAAAAUGUGUAGAGAUUUGAGGUAAGCCCAUUCUUACCUGGAGCAGUACGCUUAGAAAGGGAGAGAAGAGACAGAGUUGAGAUAAUUCUGACUUUGGUAGCUCUGGGACUAAAAACCUUCUGUGGGAGAAAACAAAACCCAGGUAGGUCAAGAAUGCAGAGGCUGGAGUACCAUUUCUCUUUAGAAAGUCUUGAAAGGGAUCACCUGAUAAGUAAAUUGAACCACCUGUGCCAGGGUAGAACUGUUUAAUCUGAAAGUAUCUUAAAUAGAUCCUUACUUUCCACUUCAGCACAAAAGUGAAAACAAUCCAAAUAUUCCACUAUAGUCCUGUCAGAGCAACAAGGAAGACAAUGGAGAAUGGAGAAUAUCAGUUUGUGUAAUAACUAGCUGUUUCCAUUUCUGGGAAAAUAUUUGACACUCACAUUUUAAAAGAGGAGAGACUUCUUUUGGUUCACAGUUUUAGAGAUUUCAAUCCAUGGCUGACCUGGCUCCAAGGACAAAUCAUCAUGGCAAAGGAUACGGUGGAGCAAAGCUGAUCGCCUCAUGGCAGCCAGAAGUGGAGAGCAAGAGGAAAGGCAGAGAUGAAGAAGCCAGGGACCAUAUAUAGUCCCCAAGGUCACAUUGUAUUACCUACUCCAUCCAACUAGCCCCACUUCCUCCACUAGCCCCCACUUCCUGCUCUAGGCCCCACUUCCUAACAGCCCAUUCAGCUGUGAUCUCAUCAGUGAGGUUAGUGCUCUUUCAAUCCAAACAUCUCCCCAGGAGUCUCUUAAUUCAGUCAAAUUGACAAUCAAGAUUAACUUGCACAGUGUGUAAAGAGUUCUCAUACCUUUAGCAUUUUGGAAAAAUGCUACGGUAUAGUGAAAUGUGACCCCGAGCCUAGGCUGUGAGGCAAACAACUCAAACCAGGAGGCAGAGGAGGAACAUAGAAGGAGCACAGAGUGUGAACCUCAGUCGACAGAUUUUAAGUCCAAAUUUCACUAGUGACUGAGCAGACUUGAAGUAGACAGAUCAAACAUUUUCUAGACUGAAUUGGUAGCAGAUGGGUAAGUUAGAUAAUUUAUCGGAAAUGAUUUAUAUUUUCCCAAUAGUGUAUACAUUGUACCUACAACAAAGAUGGACACACCAAGUGUGGGGACACUGAAGGAAGUAAAAAUCAUAUUACAUUGGGGAACAGAGGGAUCAGCCCACUAUCACACACUUUUACUCCCUUUAAAGUGAAAUUAUGGAAUUUUGACAAAUAGAAAUGAGGCAGAGACAUUUCAGACAGCAGAAAAGGGUCAGCUAAGGUCCAGGAAAUGGGAGGAGUUGGAAAAGCUUGAGGAAAUAAACAAUGGUCCAGUUUGGCUAGAAUCUAAGGACAUCUUAUAAAACUCUACACCUGCUCUGCUAGAUUCCUGUGCUUUGUAUCCAAGUGAUGAGAAAAAAAUUUGUAAACCUCUACAGGAUAAAGCACAUACUAAGUUAAGUGAACCUAAAGACUUAAUGUGCAUCCCUUAGAAACUCUGUUAUCUCUAUCUCUGUUCCUUACUUCAAAUGCAGUAGGUAAGUUUGCUACCACAUGAUGCCUCUGAAUGCUCUAUAUUCAGACUUAACCUGGAAAGAGAAGAGGUCUAACAUCAAUAUUUUGUCCUUUCUUUCGAUGCUAGGAAAACUUUCCCCAUUCUGCCUGACCCUAUUCCUUAAGUGGAAGCGUACCUAAUAAAUGGAAGAUGGUGAUUCAGUAGAAUUUACGCACUCUUUAUGUUGACAAAUCUUCAAAUGUGAUCUGAAUGUACAAAAAUUGAUCUCCUUGUUUCUCUCACUUUCUUUAUUUCUCAUCUCUUCAUAUCUAUUUAGAACAAUAUCUAGUAUAUAUCUGAU
RNAcentral lists this long non-coding RNA (2623 nucleotides) under Fukomys damarensis (Damara mole-rat). RNAcentral describes it as "lncRNA (ENSFDAG00000025871.1)". Lineage: Eukaryota; Metazoa; Chordata; Mammalia; Rodentia; Bathyergidae. The record is from RNAcentral.